ACGGUUAAUACCCCAAAUACCUGGAGGGGGAAAAGCCGCCAAUGCGCUUUUCCGAGGCGCCCAACCGGGAUUUAGUUAGUAGGUGAGGUAAAAGGCUCACCUAGGCGACGAUCUCUAGCUGGUUUGAGAGGAUGAUCAGCCACAUUGGGACUGAGACACGGCCCCAGACUCCUACGGGAGGCAGCAGUAGGGAAAUAUUGCACAAUGGGGGAAACCCUGAUGCAGCCAUGCCGCGUGUGUGAAGAAGGCCUUCGGGUUGUAAAGCACUUUCGGAGGGGAGGAACAAAUGACGUUACCCUCAGAAGAAGCACCGGCUAACUCCGUGCCAGCAGCCGCGGUAAUACGGAGGGUGCAAGCGUUAAUCGGAAUAACUGGGCGUAAAGGGCAUGCAGGCGGUCGGACAAGUAGGAUGUGAAAUCCUGGGGCUCAACCUCAGAACUGCAUUCUAAACUGUCCGACUAGAGUAUUGCAGGGGGAGACGGAAUUUCAGGUGUAGCGGUGGAAUGCGUAGAUAUCUGAAAGAACACCAAAGGCGAAGGCAGUCUCCUGGGCAAAUACUGACGCUCAUAUGCGAAAGCGUGGGUAGCAAACAGGAUUAGAUACCCUGGUAGUCCACGCCGUAAACGAUGUCAAUUAGGAGCUUGGACUUAAGUCUGGGUUCCGUAGCAAACGCAAUAAAU
This 680-nucleotide ribosomal RNA is filed under the name uncultured bacterium. RNAcentral's name for it is "bacterial SSU rRNA". It matches the Rfam family "Bacterial small subunit ribosomal RNA", at positions 159 to 865 of the family's 1533-position model. The record is from RNAcentral.